GUACUACUCCCUCCGUUGCAAAAUUCUGCAAAAUUCUUGUCUUAAAUUAGUCUAGAUAUGGAUGUAUCCAAUUCUAAAACAUGACUUGAUACAUCCGUAUUUAGACAAAUUUAAGACAAAAAUUUUAGGACGGAGGGAGUACCUC
Non-coding RNA from Triticum aestivum (bread wheat), 145 nucleotides. NCBI's taxonomy places the organism in Eukaryota, Viridiplantae, Streptophyta, Magnoliopsida, Poales, Poaceae. The record is from Rfam.